ACAGCAGUCGCCGCGGGAAUACGUAGGUGGCAAGCGUUGUCCGGAAUUAUUGGGCGUAAAGGGCACGCAGGCGGUUUCUUAAGUCUGAUGUGAAAGCCCCCGGCUCAACCGGGGAGGGUCAUUGGAAACUGGGAAACUUGAGUGCAGAAGAGGAGAGUGGAAUUCCACGUGUAGCGGUGAAAUGCGUAGAGAUGUGGAGGAACACCAGUGGCGAAGGCGACUCUCUGGUCUGUAACUGACGCUGAGGAGCGAAAGCGUGGGGAGCGAACAGGAUUAGAUACCCGCGUAGUCCCUGUCUCUUAUAC
RNAcentral lists this ribosomal RNA (305 nucleotides) under uncultured bacterium. RNAcentral describes it as "partial 16S ribosomal RNA". It matches the Rfam family "Bacterial small subunit ribosomal RNA", at positions 508 to 807 of the family's 1533-position model. The record is from RNAcentral.